AUUGAACGCUGGCGGCAUGCCUUACACAUGCAAGUCGAACGGCAGCACGAGUGCUUGCACCUGGUGGCGAGUGGCGAACGGGUGAGUAAUACAUCGGAACGUACCUUAUCGUGGGGGAUAACGCAGCGAAAGUUGCGCUAAUACCGCAUACGCCCUGAGGGGGAAAGCGGGGGACCGUAAGGCCUCGCGCGAUUAGAGCGGCCGAUGUCUGAUUAGCUUGUUGGUGAGGUAAAAGCUCACCAAGGCGAUGAUCAGUAGCUGGUCUGAGAGGACAAUCAGCCACACUGGGACUGAGACACGGCCCCGCCUCCCACGGGAGGCAGCAGUGGGGAAUUUUGGACAAUGGGGGCAACCCUGAUCCAGCAAUGCCGCGUGAGUGAAGAAGGCCUUCGGGUUGUAAAGCUCUUUUGUCAGGGAAGAAACAGCAGCUCUAACAUAGUCUGCGAAUGACGGUACCUGAAGAAUAAGCACCGGCUAACUACGUGCCAGCCGCCGCCGUAA
Molecule: ribosomal RNA, 501 nt
Filed under: uncultured bacterium
Lineage: Bacteria
Description: partial 16S ribosomal RNA
Rfam family: Bacterial small subunit ribosomal RNA
Source: RNAcentral